Molecule: ribosomal RNA, 84 nt
Filed under: Pseudosedum affine
Lineage: Eukaryota; Viridiplantae; Streptophyta; Magnoliopsida; Saxifragales; Crassulaceae
Description: partial 5.8S ribosomal RNA
Rfam family: 5.8S ribosomal RNA
About the family: 5.8S ribosomal RNA (5.8S rRNA) is a component of the large subunit of the eukaryotic ribosome. It is transcribed by RNA polymerase I as part of the 45S precursor that also contains 18S and 28S rRNA.
Source: RNAcentral
UGCAGAAUCCCGUGAAUCAUCGAGUCUUUGAACGCAAGUUGCGCCCGAAGCCUUUAGGCCGAGGGCACGUCUGCCUGGGCGUCA